Molecule: ribosomal RNA, 450 nt
Filed under: uncultured bacterium
Lineage: Bacteria
Description: partial 16S ribosomal RNA
Rfam family: Bacterial small subunit ribosomal RNA
Source: RNAcentral
GUGGGGAAUCUUCCGCAAUGGACGAAAGUCUGACGGAGCAACGCCGCGUGAGUGAAGAAGGUUUUCGGAUCGUAAAGCUCUGUUGUUUGAGACGAAUGUGCAGACUUUGAAUAAGGGUUUGUAAUGACGGUAUUAAACGAGAAAGCCACGGCUAACUACGUGCCAGCAGCCGCGGUAAUACGUAGGUGGCAAGCGUUGUCCGGAAUUAUUGGGCGUAAAGGGAGCGCAGGUGGGAAUGUAAGUCAGUCUUAAAAGUGCGGGGCUCAACCCCGUGAGGGGAUUGAAACUACAUUUCUUGAGUGCAGGAGAGGAAAGUGGAAUUCCUAGUGUAGCGGUGAAAUGCGUAGAGAUUAGGAGGAACACCAGUGGCGAAGGCGACUUUCUGGACUGUAACUGACACUGAGGCUCGAAAGCCAGGGGAGCGAACGGGAUUAGAUACCCGAGUAGUCC